AGACAUCGGGGAAGAGGCUUCUCCCAGUGCUCUUGCUGCUGGUGGUGGUGAAAUUCGAUCGCUGUUUGGUGUGAAAACAAUAACAUCAUUCCAAUUUCCACAGGAAGCACAUGUCAGUGGCUGCAUUUUUUCUUCUUCUCCAGACACCUAAGAGUGAGCGGCGUUCGUGCGAAGGAAAAUAUGCAAAACACAUCUUUUGUGUGCCAUAGAUCGUGAAGAAAGGAAAAAUUAAGCAGAGACCAAAAAUAGAACACAAUCAUGAUGUCCCUGCGUUCCAAGUUCUCCAUUUCAAACAGGCAACCAGCAGCAAAGUGCUUUUCUCGCAUUAUUUAUCAUUCCUGAUUUGCUUAUACGGACACCGAAGCACACCGAAGGAGGAGAAACACAUUUCGUCCCGUCUUUAUCCUGUGUGAUGCUGCUGCUGCUAUCGGUGGUAUCGCGUCGUGCAGCAUCCCGUAUCGAAGAUUCUUCCGAUCGAACGUCGCUUCCAAUAGUUAUCGCGCGUCCUAAUGACGCACUUGGAUGGGAUGACGCGAAGGACAAACUGUUUUUCUUCUGCCGUCAAUGGGAUAGAAGGCAAGUCAUUUAUCAGCGUCCAUUACGACGGCAUACUACAACAGGGCGUUUGGUGCUCAUUUUCACUUGUAUUGUUGUAUUAAUGAAAUGGGAUUUUUAUUGAAACCUGACAGACGUUGUCCUUGAGUAAUAGAUAUAGUGGAGGCGGCGAGAAGGACAACGUCUAUCGAUCAGGUGGAGCUGCUGGGGCUUUCUCGGCAAAAAGAACACAGCGACAAAGCGUUCUCACAGUAAAGCCCCAGAUGCUGCUCUCUAUCUACACAGCGCCUCGCGUAGUUAUCCUCCACGGACAAUAAAUUGUUUCAAUUUUUCUUGCCAAAACAC
Anopheles arabiensis is the source of this 900-nucleotide long non-coding RNA. RefSeq lists it as uncharacterized. The transcript is spliced from 2 exons. The record is from RefSeq and is a predicted model, not a curated record. Lineage: Eukaryota; Metazoa; Arthropoda; Insecta; Diptera; Culicidae.